AUUGAACGCUGGCGGCAGGCUUAACACAUGCAAGUCGAGCGGAGUGAUGGUGCUUGCACUAUCACUUAGCGGCGGACGGGUGAGUAAUGCUUAGGAAUCUGCCUAUUAGUGGGGGACAACAUUUCGAAAGGAAUGCUAAUACCGCAUACGUCCUACGGGAGAAAGCAGGGGAUCUUCGGACCUUGCGCUAAUAGAUGAGCCUAAGUCGGAUUAGCUAGUUGGUGGGGUAAAGGCCUACCAAGGCGACGAUCUGUAGCGGGUCUGAGAGGAUGAUCCGCCACACUGGGACUGAGACACGGCCCAGACUCCUACGGGAGGCAGCAGUGGGGAAUAUUGGACAAUGGGCGCAAGCCUGAUCCAGCCAUGCCGCGUGUGUGAAGAAGGCCUUAUGGUUGUAAAGCACUUUAAGCGAGGAGGAGGCUACUGAAGUUAAUACCUUCAGAUAGUGG
This 449-nucleotide ribosomal RNA is filed under the name Acinetobacter calcoaceticus. RNAcentral's name for it is "bacterial SSU rRNA". It matches the Rfam family "Bacterial small subunit ribosomal RNA", at positions 30 to 477 of the family's 1533-position model. The record is from RNAcentral. Lineage: Bacteria; Pseudomonadati; Pseudomonadota; Gammaproteobacteria; Moraxellales; Moraxellaceae.